Bos grunniens (domestic yak) is the source of this 3600-nucleotide long non-coding RNA. NCBI's taxonomy places the organism in Eukaryota, Metazoa, Chordata, Mammalia, Artiodactyla, Bovidae. The record is from Ensembl.
GUGUACCAGAGGCGGGCCCCCAGCCUCAUCACCAAUCAAGUGGCCCGCCGGGGACGCGAGGGCGGGCUAACGUGGGGCGCCAAGGCUUAAACGUGACGGGCGGGCGGGCGUAGGGAGGAGUCCUGGGCAGGGAGCGGUGAGUGACGGAGGAUGCUGUCCAAUAGCAGGAGGGGUUGGGCUGCCUGAGCCAAUAGGAAGUCCGUAAGGCGGGACUGGGCCUGCAGCAAGUUCGGUUGCGCGGAGACCGCAGCUGUUCCCUGUCAGUGGAGGCAGCGGCCGUAGAGGCGGUGGCGACGACUUGCGGCGGCAGCGAGGAGGUGAGUGCCGCCGGCGCUGUGCAUCUCCCGCUUCCCGCAGCGGGUCGGAGCGGGUGGGCGUGCGCCGAGCUGCCGCGGGGACGCUUAUGUAAGGGUCGCGCGCGCCAAGGCGGCUCGGGCCCACGAGUGACGGCUGGAGGAGACGGCGGCGGGCGGCGCGCGACGCGGCGCGACGUGCGCCGCCCCUCCCUCCCUCCGGCGGGGACUGCCUGCGCGAGCCCUCCGCCCAGCCCUGGGACCCUCCUCGCGGAUCCCUCGCCCCAGUCCUCCAGGCUCGCCAGCCGGCGAGCAUCUUCCCGCGCGGGCACCGCCCGGCCUUGUCCGCCCUGCGCCCAGGGGGGCCGCUGGCGGCCUUAUUCCUGCUCUCGGGCCCAUUUUGCAGAUGGAGAAGCUGAGGGCACGGAGCCCUCAGAUGCCUCGCGCGAGGUCCCUGAGGGUUCGAACCCAGGUCUGUCAGAGUCCGGAGCCCAAGUGUCCCCAUCAUACUGGAAGUUGCUCAGCUCUGAAGAAAGCCGCGGCGUGUAAGGAGAGGGUUUUCCGUGUUCCGAGUGCCUGCACUCUGCUUCCCGUAGGAUCCUCCUAGUAACCCCUGGGGGCAUUCUUAGAAUUCCACUUAGUUGCAGAGGUGGAGGCCUGGGCGCCCAGGAGCAGUGAUUAGGAGGAGGUGGGGCUGGGCUCAGUCCGUUAUUUCUACAGCUUUUAGCAGUUUACGAAGUGCAGUGAGUAGCAGCUGGGCCUGGGAAAUGCCCUCCUGGGCAUGCAGGCUGAAGCCCUGUCUGGGAGGACCUCCCAUACAGGUUUCUCCCAGCUUGUCCUGAAUUGUGUACUCUGAGUGAGUUCUUUCACUUCUGGGAUUCCUUUCCUCAUUUCACAAGUGCUGGGGCCAGGUCAGGUCCCUCGGCCCCUGGCACCUUUGAAAUUCUUACAAAUCUGAUUUUUAAGAGAGAAAGAGUAGGCCAGGAAUCCCCAUUCUUUAGCUGAGAAAACUGAGGCUCACAGAGGUGCCAAUAUUUGCCAGAUCAUAACCAGAGCCUCCCAGUCUUUACCAAGAGGUCAACCUUCCGCUUGCUCCCUCACCCCUGCACCCACAGCCUUGGCUUCCCUCACUCUUCCCUGCCUGUGUUGCAAACACUUACUCUGGGAUGGAUGUGCUCAGCAUUUCUAUCUGCUUGCAGCUACGGCUUUUCUGCUUGCCUGCUCUUCAUCUAAACUCUUGAACCCUUGCUCGCAUUCUCUGCACACUUGUCAUGUUCAGAGCCCUAGACUGGGUGCUGCAUGAACCAAGACCUGGGAGAUGAGGUGCCCCAGGACUGCCAACAAACUGGUUGGGGAGAGGAAAAGAAACAGAACGUAAGCAGCCAAUCAGCAUGCCGUAGAUGUUUGUGGAGAGUGGGUGUGGGCGAGGUAUGGCCCAAGGAGGACGUGGAGGAGGAAGUUUUGUAGAGGCUGGCACACCAGGGUGAGAGAUACCAAGGCCAGGAGAGGAUAACUGGACUGGCUGGGGCUGGAUGGGCAUGGAUUGGGAAGGCUCCAUGGAAGAGGUGAAUUGCGAGCCUGAAGAAGCAGUGAUGGAUUCGAGGCCAGGGUUUUACGAUGAAGUAGAGGUGAGUGUUAGUAACUAGAGCCUACCAGAGGAAGGCUGAGGAAGGUGGAAGGAGAAUGUGGAAGAAACAGGUUCCCAGUAGAGUGAGACGCUUGGUUGGUCCCCGAGCAGAGACCUCUGCAGGAGACGGAACAAGGCGAGGGCGCCCCUAAGUCAGAAGUGAGGUUGGGUCCAGAGGCGCCAGGGGCUUGGCUGGGCUCUGAGGGCCCAGAAGCAGCAGGCCUGAGCUACAGUUUGCUAUGUUUGUAUUCUGAUAAGCAACCUGUGAGCAGGCGUCCUUGUGAGAAGUUUCUUAGUGGCUGCUCGGCCUGUCCUGAAGGAAAGGGCUUUGCUCACUGUAGUUGCUCAAUAUCUGUUGUUUAAAUUAGGCAUCCAUUCAGACUUUCCCCAGCUUGCCCCAAGUCCCUCUGCACCUUAUGUCUCUCUCUUCUCUACUGAAGCCUGCUGCAGCUCGAUCGACUCACCGCCAGCAUCACCCCUCAGAGGGGUUUGCCGUGGGGUUGUGAGCCCAGUGGAUCCCUCCUGCCUUUGAUGCACCUGUACAGGCGGCUUGCCUUUUCUUCCUUUCUGGUCCGCUGCCUUAUUUUCUUCUGUCUCACUUCCAGAGCCCUGGGUGCUGUGCUAGGUGUCUGUCCUGACACUGGCGUGGGGAGUAGGGCUCUGCGGGACUGCAGACCGAGGUCUCGUUCAAGUUGCAGCCCAUUCUGGUGCUGCAAGAAUGAUUGUCACAAAUCGGAGGAUCUGGGCGGAGGGCCUGGGCAGCCCAGGGCCGUCCACAUCCCUCUCCAGCACCCUUCUGUGUGAGCGGACACCACGCACCUCGGCGUUGCCCUUGAGGAUAGAUGGGCCUUCUCUCUGGCUGCCUCCCAGGAGCACCUUACUCUUCUGAGCGGGGCCUCCUCCCGGUCCGGAAACGUAAGCAGCCAAUCAGCAUGCCGUAGAUGUUUGUGGAGAGUGGGUGUGGGCGAGGUAUGGCCCAAGGAGGACGUGGAGGAGGAAGUUUUGUAGAGGCUGGCACACCAGGGUGAGAGAUACCAAGGCCAGGAGAGGAUAACUGGACUGGCUGGGGGCUGGAUGGGCAUGGAUUGGGAAGGCUCCAUGGAAGAGGUGGUGCGAGCCUGAAGAAGCAGUGAUGGAUUCGAGCGGCCAGGGUUUUACGAUGAAGUAGAGGUGAGUGUUAGUAACUAGAGCCUACCAGAGGAAGGCUGAGGAAGGUGGAAGGAGAAUGUGGAAGAAACAGGUUCCCAGUAGAGUGAGACGCUUGGUUGGUCCCCGAGCAGAGACCUCUGCAGGAGACGGAACAAGGCGAGGGCGCCCUAAGUCAGAAGUGAGGUUGGGUCCAGAGGCGCCAGGGGCUUGGCUGGGCUCUGAGGGCCCAGAAGCAGCAGGCCUGAGCUACAGUUUGCUAUGUUUGUAUUCUGAUAAGCAACCUGUGAGCAGGCGUCCUUGUGAGAAGUUUCUUAGUGGCUGCUCGGCCUGUCCUGAAGGAAAGGGCUUUGCUCACUGUAGUUGCUCAAUAUCUGUUGUUUAAAUUAGGCAUCCAUUCAGACUUUCCCCAGCUUGCCCCAAGUCCCUCUGCACCUUAUGUCUCUCUCUUUCUCUACUGAAGCCUGCUGCAGCUCGAUCGACUCACCGCCAGCAUCACCCCUCAGAGGGGUUUGCCGUGGGGUUGUGAGCCCA